Molecule: ribosomal RNA, 497 nt
Filed under: uncultured bacterium
Lineage: Bacteria
Description: partial 16S ribosomal RNA
Rfam family: Bacterial small subunit ribosomal RNA
Source: RNAcentral
GAUGAACGCUGGCGGCGUGCCUAAUACAUGCAAGUCGAGCGAACAGACGAGGAGCUUGCUCCUCUGACGUUAGCGGCGGACGGGUGAGUAACACGUGGAUAACCUACCUAUAAGACUGGGAUAACUUCGGGAAACCGGAGCUAAUACCGGAUAAUAUAUUGAACCGCAUGGUUCAAUAGUGAAAGACGGUUUUGCUGUCACUUAUAGAUGGAUCCGCGCCGCUUUAGCUAGUUGGUAAGGUAACGGCUUACCAAGGCGAGGAUGCGUAGCCGACCUGAGAGGGUGAUCGGCCACACUGGAACUGAGACACGGUCCAGACUCCUACGGGAGGCAGCAGUAGGGAAUCUUCCGCAAUGGGCGAAAGCCUGACGGAGCAACGCCGCGUGAGUGAUGAAGGUCUUCGGAUCGUAAAACUCUGUUAUUAGGGAAGAACAAAUGUGUAAGUAACUAUGCACGUCUUGACGGUACCUAAUCAGAAAGCCACGGCUAACUACGUG